GAUGAACGCUGGCGGCGUGCCUAAUACAUGCAAGUCGAGCGAACAGACGAGGAGCUUGCUCCUCUGACGUUAGCGGCGGACGGGUGAGUAACACGUGGAUAACCUACCUAUAAGACUGGGAUAACUUCGGGAAACCGGAGCUAAUCCCGGAUAAUAUAUUGAACCGCAUGGUUCAAUAGUGAAAGACGGUUUUGCUGUCACUUAUAGAUGUAUCCGCGCCGCAUUAGCUAGUUGGUAAGGUAACGGCUUACCAAGGCGACGAUGCGUAGCCGACCUGAGAGGGUGAUCGGCCACACUGGAACUGAGACACGGUCCAGACUCCUACGGGAGGCAGCAGUAGGGAAUCUUCCGCAAUGGGCGAAAGCCUGACGGAGCAACGCCGCGUGAGUGAUGAAGGUCUUCGGAUCGUAAAACUCUGUUAUUAGGGAAGAACAAAUGUGUAAGUAACUAUGCACGUCUUGACGGUACCUAAUCAGAAAGCCACGGCUAACUACGUG
This 497-nucleotide ribosomal RNA is filed under the name uncultured bacterium. Its description in RNAcentral is "partial 16S ribosomal RNA". It matches the Rfam family "Bacterial small subunit ribosomal RNA", at positions 28 to 507 of the family's 1533-position model. The record is from RNAcentral.